Molecule: ribosomal RNA, 651 nt
Rfam family: 5.8S ribosomal RNA (bases 241-394)
CCGUAGGUGAACCUGCGGAGGAUCCUUAAUGAAUGGGGGNNGNUGNNGNNUNGGGNUUUUAGNANGGGCCCGCCNCNCCUUCNAUNCCCAUUNCCCCUGNGCCCCUUUUGUAGUACUCCAUUGUGGACGCCGACGUGGGGUAAUUUUCCCGGCCUUCCUACUUUGGUGAAGCCGUAAAAUCGUUUUUUUUUACACACACAAGAGUCAUUGAAUGUAUAUUUUAUUUCUUAUGAUAAAAACAACUUUCAACAACGGAUCUCUUGGCUCUCGCAUCGAUGAAGAACGUAGCGAAUUACGAUAUGUAAUGUGAAUUGCAGAAUUCAGUGAAUCAUCGAAUCUUUGAACGCACCUUGCGCUCUUUGGUAUUCCGAAGAGCAUGCCUGUUUGAGUGUCAUGAAUCUCUCAAAUAANAUGAUUUAUUUUGAAUCAUUAUUAUUUGGACUUGGAAGUUNGUCGGCGCAAGUCGACUCUUCUUNAAUGCAUUAGCUGGGGUUUAUAUAGUUGGAUCCUUGGUGNGAUAAUUAUCUACGCCUUGAAGUCCCUGUAGACUCNGCUUCAAAUCGUCUCUACUAUUGAGACAAUAUUUGAAUCAUCUGACCUCAAAUCAGGUAGGACUACCCGCUGAACUUAAGCAUAUCAAUAAGCGGAGGA